Jatropha curcas is the source of this 212-nucleotide non-coding RNA. NCBI's taxonomy places the organism in Eukaryota, Viridiplantae, Streptophyta, Magnoliopsida, Malpighiales, Euphorbiaceae. The record is from RefSeq and is a predicted model, not a curated record.
GCAAGCACCAAGCAAAAAUCAAGUAAGUAAUCAUUUCCUUAAGCUUUGUGAAUGUUUGCUUCUUAUUAAUACAAUUAUAUUUAGUGCUUUGUGUUAGUAUUAUUUUGGUUGCCUUUCCCGUUAUUAUUUUUGGUGUUAUAAAUUAUUAAUCAAUCUUGGAGUUUACCACUGCGCUGAUAUCCAACAAGUGGUAUGAGAGCUGAUAUCCAACA